GGAGUAGAUGAUGAAAAAGGUGGUCAUGUGAUUACGGCCGACAAUGUUUACCGCUAAAGGAAGCACCCCUUUGGUUUGGGAUUUAUCUCUGACGAAACUGCUCAUUGUGAUCCCAGAAGGAAUAAGUUCGUCAUUGGAGCGACGUAAUGCCUUCAUGACAUUUACAGGCAUGAUAUUGACGGUGGCUCCACAAUCGACAAAAACUUUGGAGACUGGAUACCCUUCGAUAUGGGCCGUUACAUACAAUGGCUUCAAAUGAUGAAGUUUGACCGAUGAUGUGUGAGGAAACAAUUCGACC
Molecule: long non-coding RNA, 298 nt
Filed under: Malus domestica (apple)
Lineage: Eukaryota; Viridiplantae; Streptophyta; Magnoliopsida; Rosales; Rosaceae
Description: long non-coding RNA (MDOM_LNC018855)
Source: RNAcentral